RNAcentral lists this ribosomal RNA (301 nucleotides) under uncultured bacterium. RNAcentral describes it as "partial 16S ribosomal RNA". It matches the Rfam family "Bacterial small subunit ribosomal RNA", at positions 509 to 809 of the family's 1533-position model. The record is from RNAcentral.
CAGCCGCCACGGUAAUACGUAGGUGGCAAGCGUUGUCCGGAAUUAUUGGGCGUAAAGGGCUCGCAGGCGGUUUCUUAAGUCUGAUGUGAAAGCCCCCGGCCCAACCGGGGAGGGUCAUUGGAAACUGGGGAGCUUGAGUGCAGAAGAGGAGAGUGGAAUUCCACGUGUAGCGGUGAAAUGCGUAGAGAUGUGGAGGAACACCAGUGGCGAAGGCGACUCUCUGGUCUGUAACUGACGCUGAGGAGCGAAAGCGUGGGGAGCGAACAGGAUUAGAUACCCCGGUAGUCCCUGUCUCUUAUAA